CCAGUCCGUGCCCAGCGCCCACCACGCUCACUUGCUCAUGCGUCUCUCUCGGUCGUCUUGCAACACGCUGGUGUAGUUGUUGCAGGCGUGCCGAUGCUGUGUGCACCUGAAUAUAUUUUGUCUCGGGGGAAAAUAAGUGACCUAGAAUUACUUGAAAAUAUAUAACGAAUUGAAAUCUCAAUGAAAGGGGUUGACUUUAUAACUAAUUCCUCAUUGGAUAUUUACUGGAAUUGCGAGUGUGAAAUGUGUAGAAGAAAUAUGCAUAUGUAUAUGACAUAAUACGAUAGCUUCGGAAAAUGCAACAAAGAACUUGGUGAUCUCAGGUCAACUGU
Molecule: long non-coding RNA, 332 nt
Organism: Penaeus monodon (black tiger shrimp)
Lineage: Eukaryota; Metazoa; Arthropoda; Malacostraca; Decapoda; Penaeidae
Exons: 2
Source: RefSeq, a predicted model, not a curated record